CACGCCGUAAACGAUGGAUACUAAGUGUUGGAAGAAUUCAGUGCUGUAGUUAACGCAAUAAGUAUCCCGCCUGGGGAGUAUGCGCGCAAGCGUAAAACUCAAAGGAAUUGACGGGGGCCCGCACAAGCGGUGGAGUAUGUGGUUUAAUUCGAAGCAACGCGAAGAACCUUACCAGAUCUUGACAUACCACGCAAAAGCAUAGAGAUAUGUAAUAGUUAUGGUGGAUACAGGUGG
This 234-nucleotide ribosomal RNA is filed under the name uncultured Erysipelothrix sp. RNAcentral's name for it is "partial 16S ribosomal RNA". It matches the Rfam family "Bacterial small subunit ribosomal RNA", at positions 796 to 1041 of the family's 1533-position model. The record is from RNAcentral. Lineage: Bacteria; Bacillati; Bacillota; Erysipelotrichia; Erysipelotrichales; Erysipelotrichaceae.